Molecule: ribosomal RNA, 1474 nt
Filed under: metagenome
Description: bacterial SSU rRNA
Rfam family: Bacterial small subunit ribosomal RNA
Source: RNAcentral
AGAGUUUGAUCCUGGCUCAGAACGAACGCUGGCGGCGCGUUUUAAGCAUGCAAGUCUAAGGGGUGUAGCAAUACAUCACUGGCGAACGGGUGAGUAACACGUGAGAAUCUAUCUUAUGAUGGGGGAUAGCCGGUAGAAAUACCGGGUAAUACCGCAUAUGCCGUGAGGCGAAAGCUGCUUUUGCAGCGUCAUGAGGUGAGCUUGCGGUUCAUUAGCUAGUUGGUAGGGUAAAGGCCUACCAAGGCUACGAUGGAUAGCCGGCCUGAGAGGGUGAACGGCCACAUUGGGACUGAGACACGGCCCAGACUCCUACGGGAGGCAGCAGCUAAGAAUAUUCCGCAAUGGGAGAAAUCCUGACGGAGCGACGCCGCGUGAACGAUGAAGGCCGAAAGGUUGUAAAGUUCUUUUAUACGGGAAGAAUAAGGUUAGGAGUAGAAAGCCUAAUCGAUGACGGUACCGUAUGAAUAAGCCCCGGCUAACUACGUGCCAGCAGCCGCGGUAAUACGUAGGGGGCAAGCGUUGUUCGGAUUCAUUGGGCGUAAAGGGCAUGUAGGCGGCUGGAUAAGUGUGGAUUUAAAGACCGAGGCUUAACCUCGUGUAUGGUCUGCAAACUGUCCGGCUAGAGUGCGGUAUGGGAAACUGGAAUUCCACGUGUAGGGGUGAAAUCUGUAGAGAUGUGGAAGAAUACCUGUGGCGAAAGCGAGUUUCUGAUCUGCAACUGACGCUGAGAUGCGAAAGUGUGGGGAGCGAACAGGAUUAGAUACCCUGGUAGUCCACACUGUAAACGUUGUACACUAGGUGUUAAUGGUUAAACUGUUAGUGCCGUAGCUAACGCGAUAAGUGUACCGCCUGGGGAGUAUGCUCGCAAGGGUGAAACUCAAAGGAAUUGACGGGGGCCCGCACAAGCGGUGGAGCAUGUGGUUUAAUUCGACGAUACGCGAAAAACCUUACCAGGGCUUGACAUUUAGUCGACGGAUACAGAGAUGUAUCUUCCCUUCGGGGCGGCUAAACAGGUGCUGCAUGGCUGUCGUCAGCUCGUGUUGUGAGAUGUUGGGUUAAGUCCCGCAACGAGCGCAACCCUUACUGCUAGUUGCCAACAGGUUAAGCUGGGGACUCUAGCGGAACUGCCGGUGACAAACCGGAGGAUGGUGGGGAUGACGUCAAGUCCUCAUGGCCCUUAUGUCCUGGGCUACACACGUGCUACAAUGGAUUGUACAAAGGGUAGCAAUACUGCAAGGUGGAGCCAAUCCCAAAAAGCAAUCCGUAGUUCAGAUUGGAGUCUGCAACUCGACUCCAUGAAGCUGGAAUCGCUAGUAAUCACAGAUCAGCAUGCUGUGGUGAAUACGUUCCCGGGCCUUGUACACACCGCCCGUCACACCAUCCGAGUCGAGGAUACCCGAAGUUGUUACCCUAACCGCAAGGAGGGGGGCACCUAAGGUAUGUUUGGUGAGGAGGGUGAAGUCGUAACAAGGUA